RNAcentral lists this long non-coding RNA (375 nucleotides) under Phasianus colchicus (ring-necked pheasant). RNAcentral describes it as "lncRNA (ENSPCLG00000016181.1)". Lineage: Eukaryota; Metazoa; Chordata; Aves; Galliformes; Phasianidae. The record is from RNAcentral.
AGAAGUGUGUGUUCAUUCAGUCCAAAGCAUGUGUCCAAGGUCAGUCCAAAAUUAACAGAAGAGAAUGCAUCUGGAUUUUUUUGCAGUUUAUUUCUUCUUCUGGGCAGGAAGACAUCAUUCUGUAGGAUGCCAAGAAACAUGAGCCACAUUUCAUCCACACCUUCCAGAAGUAACUGUAUGGCAUCAGUCACAUCAUAUCCAGGCUCCAGCAUAGGUAAGAUAACAGUGCAGGCAUAGAUGUGUCUGUGUAAUCCACACCUUUAGGGCACAUAAUGCAGUGUACAGAAGCUUGGGAUGUCAUUGAUUCUGUUUCUAUCAUUAGAAAUAAUUUUAUUAUACACCUUCUGUGAAAUAAAUAUCUUCUUACUUGUCUCA